ACCAGAAAACAACCAAGAUCUGGAGUCCAACUUCUGCAGAAACCCUGAUGAGUUAAGUGAUGGACCCUGGUGUUACACCACUGACCCCAACACCCGCUGGGAGUACUGUGACAUACCCAGCUGCACUGAGGACUGUAUGUACUGCAAUGGUGAGGACUACAGAGGAAACAUCUCCACUACUGAAAACGGCUUCACCUGCCAACGCUGGGACUCCCAG
Oreochromis niloticus (Nile tilapia) is the source of this 217-nucleotide long non-coding RNA. RefSeq lists it as uncharacterized. The record is from RefSeq and is a predicted model, not a curated record. The transcript has 2 exons. NCBI's taxonomy places the organism in Eukaryota, Metazoa, Chordata, Actinopteri, Cichliformes, Cichlidae.